ACGGGUGAGGAAUACAUCGGAAUCUACUCUGUCGUGGGGGAUAACGUAGGGAAACUUACGCUAAUACCGCAUACGACCUACGGGUGAAAGCAGGGGAUCUUCGGACCUUGCGCGAUUGAAUGAGCCGAUGUCGGAUUAGCUAGUUGGCGGGGUAAAGGCCCACCAAGGCGACGAUCCGUAGCUGGUCUGAGAGGAUGAUCAGCCACACUGGAACUGAGACACGGUCCAGACUCCUACGGGAGGCAGCAGUGGGGAAUAUUGAACAAUGGGCGCAAGCCUGAUCCAGCCAUACCGCGUGGGUGAAGAAGGCCUUCGGGUUGUAAAGCCCUUUUGUUGGGAAAGAAAUCCAGCUGGCUAAUACCCGGUUGGGAUGACGGUACCCAAAGAAUAAGCACCGGCUAACUUCGUGCCAGCAGCCGCGGUAAUACGAAGGGUGCAAGCGUUACUCGGAAUUACUGGGCGUAAAGCGUGCGUAGGUGGUCGUUUAAGUCCGUUGUGAAAGCCCUGGGCUCAACCUGGGAACUGCAGUGGAUACUGGGCGACUAGAGUGUGGUAGAGGGUAGCGGAAUUCCUGGUGU
RNAcentral lists this ribosomal RNA (578 nucleotides) under uncultured Stenotrophomonas sp. RNAcentral's name for it is "bacterial SSU rRNA". It matches the Rfam family "Bacterial small subunit ribosomal RNA", at positions 102 to 676 of the family's 1533-position model. Lineage: Bacteria; Pseudomonadati; Pseudomonadota; Gammaproteobacteria; Lysobacterales; Lysobacteraceae. The record is from RNAcentral.